UACGGGAGGCAGCAGUGGGGAAUUUUCCGCAAUGGGCGAAAGCCUGACGGAGCAAUACCGCGUGAGGGAAGACGGCCUAUGGGUUGUAAACCUCUUUUUUCAGGGAGGAGUCAAUGACGUGUACCUGAAGAAUAAGCAUCGGCUAACUCCGUGCCAGCAGCCGCGGUAAU
RNAcentral lists this ribosomal RNA (170 nucleotides) under uncultured bacterium. RNAcentral describes it as "partial 16S ribosomal RNA". It matches the Rfam family "Bacterial small subunit ribosomal RNA", at positions 340 to 524 of the family's 1533-position model. The record is from RNAcentral.